GUGAGUGAGACAGCCGAUAAAAGGAAUGAAGGAAAGUGGUGCGGACAGACUGACGGACGGACGAGCGGAGAACUCGAGAGGAAGAGUCAGACAGCGCAGCCAUGCCCGUACUUAAGAAGCCAGCGGCCAAGAAAGGAAAGGCUGCAGCGCCACCUCCUGAGGCCAAGAAAGAAGAAACAGCUCCAGCGCCACCUCCUGAGAAAGUGGAAGGUAGGAAAAGGACUGCAGCGCGCCUGUCUGUCCAUCCGUCCGUCAAUCUCCACGAUCAUCACCAGACUGGCCCAGCAUUACGUCUGUGUGUAACGUUUGUGUGUCACUGUUUUCCUUCAUUCAUUCAGAAAAACCCCCAGAGGACGACGGGGAACCGCCUGCAG
Molecule: long non-coding RNA, 374 nt
Organism: Anguilla rostrata (American eel)
Lineage: Eukaryota; Metazoa; Chordata; Actinopteri; Anguilliformes; Anguillidae
Exons: 5
Source: RefSeq, a predicted model, not a curated record